UCCAGUCUCAUCAGGGAGAUUCCAGAGAUUGAAGAUCAAGAUGUCUCACAAGACUCUCACGAACUGAGUUUGGUUGCUGCUCCUGAGAGGAAGACCCGUUCCCAGCUGGAGGGAGGUCCUCACAAAGAUCUCAUCACCAGCACCUGUGAGAAUCAUAGCAUCAGCCCCAGCGAUGUCCCGAGUUCCCCAAAAGGAGAUGUUAUCAAAGGAAAAUGGAAGCCCAGGAAAUGGGAACUGGCCUGCAGGUUCCCUGGCCUGGAGAUGAAGGCCAAACCACAGCCCACGGAAAGGAAAAUCGCAUGCCAAUUCCCUGGCCUGGAGAUAAAGGGCAAACCACAGACCAACAUGUGGGCACUGGCAUUCAGAUUCCUGGGCCUCCCUGCCUAGGAUCCAGAGAUCCCAAGUACAGUUGGAAGUAUAGAACAGUAUUGCUGAUUGUAACAUCCCCACCUCCUCAAAACAUCUAACACAGGAGCUCCGCUUCAACAGCAACCAGAACACCAAGAACGCAAUUUCAACCCCAUGAACUGCCCUCGGCUAUUUGUAUCCACCAGGCUGCUUCCCUGAGAGCUGGCACCGUCUUCCACCUCCAAUCCGAGCAAACACCUAAGGAGACCCAGGCCUGACUCCACAGCUGCUCCCGAGAGAACACCACCUGGCUCCUCUCCAACUGCCUCCUGUAGAGAUCUGGGGUCAGGAGGAGCUGGAAGCAAACAGCAUAGGACCCUGGGCACACACUGCCUUUGGAUGGGGCGAGCUCGGUGUGGGCAGUGUCAGAGACACAGCGCCCUGCGCACAAGGCUGUGUGUGAGCAGAGGAGAGGAUCGGACUCUGCAGGACGUGGACCCUGGCCCAGACAGCUGGCCCUCUCCUUCACACAGCCAGCGUUCCGCAUAGAGGACAGCAGCAGGAGGAGACUUUGGGGCUCAAAAGGACAGGCAGGGUCUCUUUCCUCCUUUUGAACCCCAACCAUCUCCCCCUUCUGCUGUCUUCCAUGAUGGGAACGCUGACUGUGUGAAGGCGGCAGGCCAGGUGUCUGGCUCGGGGUCUGCAUCCUGAAGAUCUCUGAUGCUUUCCUCAAUUUUGCACUCAGCCUCACUCUUUGGCCAAGCACCCGAUGCAGGGAGUGCUGUGUGCUCCCUCCCACAUCCCCGCAGGAGGCAGAGAACCUCUUGUGUGCCCAUCAGGUCCCCUGGCCCUGGCAUCGGUCAGUGGUGAAAGCUGUCUGUUGAUCUGUACAUCCUAAAGAUGUGCUCCUUCCUCUGUAUUCCUAACAACUGUGGAGAGGGUGACCCCUCAGAGCCUGAGCAAAAAGGGAGUGAGCAGCGGCCCUGGCGGAGGUGCGGUCAUCAACCCAGGAGGUGGCCGUGGAUGGGCGUGAUAACAGCAAGUUCAUGGUGAUGAAUGCAGCAGUGUGGCCGGGAGGGGCCCAGGUGGGUGAGGUGGGCUGAGCCUGCAUCAAGGAACCGGACACCUCUCUGAGCACUCCUCUCUCCACACCCAGAGUCAGGCAGCCCAGAUGGGGGCAGGACCUCAGCUGCUGGUCCUGCCAACUCCAGUAGUGUUGCAGGAGAACUGGGGGCUCCUGAUGCAGGACGUGGGCCAAGGCAUCCAGAGCCCCAGCAAACAGCAAGGCCGUGUUCCUGCCGGGCCUGAGGCAGCUGCAGGACUUGAGGGGCCAUAUGCCUGCCCCCUGUCAUGGAAAACCGAGUCCUCGCAGAUUCUGGACACCCGCUGCUUAGUAGGUGCUCCUGGGCAAAGAACAAACCGAGCCAAUGGCACCGCUGCCCUGUGGUGGACCUGUUUCUCACAGCUACCAUUCUUACUUCCACUGUCUGUCAUGCCUGUGAUCAAGACAAUUGUUUUCCUUUCAUGAAAAUUGGGAUCCUAGGGAGGGAAUUGUGUUUCCACCUGAGUGUGGCCUCCUCUCAGUGUAACAGCUGCCUUAGACAUCGUGUCAGCACAUCUUGGGCAACUUCUCAUGAAGAUAUCGCUGUCCAGGCCCAUAAGUGUCUCCAGUGUCCUGGAGUGUAACUGGAAUCUCAAAAGUUUUGAUUCAGAUCCAAAUAUGUAUUCCCUGUUUUAGUUAAGUGUUUUUAAAA
Molecule: long non-coding RNA, 2102 nt
Organism: Lepus europaeus (European hare)
Lineage: Eukaryota; Metazoa; Chordata; Mammalia; Lagomorpha; Leporidae
Exons: 3
Source: RefSeq, a predicted model, not a curated record